Molecule: ribosomal RNA, 253 nt
Filed under: uncultured bacterium
Lineage: Bacteria
Description: partial 16S ribosomal RNA
Rfam family: Bacterial small subunit ribosomal RNA
Source: RNAcentral
UACAGAGGGGGCUUGCGUUGUUCGGAAUUACUGGGCGUAAAGGGCGCGUAGGUGGCCUGUUAAGUCGAACGUGAAAUCCCCGGGCUCAACCCGGGAACUGCGUCCGAGACUGGCAGGCUCGAAUCCGGGAGAGGGAUGUGGAAUUCCAGGUGUAGCGGUGAAAUGCGUAGAUAUCUGGAGGAACACCGGUGGCGAAGGCGGCAUCCUGGACCGGUAUUGACGCUGAGGCGCGAAAGCCAGGGGAGCAAACGGG